CAGCAGUAGGGAAUCUUCCACAAUGGGCGCAAGCCUGAUGGAGCAACGCCGCGUGUGUGAUGAAGGGUUUCGGCUCGUAAAACACUGUUAUAAGAGAAGAACGGCACUGAGAGUAACUGUUCAGUGUGUGACGGUAUCUUACCAGAAAGGAACGGCUAAAUACGUGCCAGCAGCCGCGGUAAUACGUAUGUUCCAAGCGUUAUCCGGAUUUAUUGGGCGUAAAGCGAGCGCAGACGGUUAUUUAAGUCUGAAGUGAAAGCCCUCAGCUCAACUGAGGAAUUGCUUUGGAAACUGGAUGACUUGAGUGCAGUAGAGGAAAGUGGAACUCCAUGUGUAGCGGUGAAAUGCGUAGAUAUAUGGAAGAACACCAGUGGCGAAGGCGGCUUUCUGGACUGUAACUGACGUUGAGGCUCGAAAGUGUGGGUAGCAAACAGGAUUAGA
RNAcentral lists this ribosomal RNA (441 nucleotides) under uncultured Weissella sp. Its description in RNAcentral is "bacterial SSU rRNA". It matches the Rfam family "Bacterial small subunit ribosomal RNA", at positions 349 to 782 of the family's 1533-position model. The record is from RNAcentral. Lineage: Bacteria; Bacillati; Bacillota; Bacilli; Lactobacillales; Lactobacillaceae.